GGCUUCAAGAUGGUUGUCUGAACUGUUUAUUGAGACUUUCCCCACCUUUCUCCAUCCCUCUGGUGUUUUUUAUUAACCUGGACAUAAUGCAUUAAAGGGCCCAAUGGAAACAGAACUGAAGGAGUUCUAAAAUGGAGUUCUAAAGUGAAGGAUGCACACAGCAUCCAUGGCACCAACCCUCAGUAUUUGGUGGAGAAGAUCAUUCGAACAUAAAUCUAUGAGUCCAAGUACUGGAAAGAGGAGUGCUUUGGACGUAUGGCUGAACUUGUAGUGGAUAAAGCCACGGAGUUAAGGUUUGUGGGUGGCGUGCAUGGUGGCAACAUAAAACCAACUCCCUUUCAGUGUUUAACCUUGAAGAUGCUUCAAAUUCAGUCUGAGAAGGAUAUCAUUGUAGAGUUCAUAAAAAAUGAAGAUUUCAAGUAUGUCCGCAUGUUGGGGGCACUUUACAUGAGGCUGACAGGCACUACAAUUGAUUGCUAUAAGUACUUGGAGCCUUUGUACAACGACUAUCAAAAAAUCAAGAGCCAGACCGAAGUGGAGAGUUCGAACUGAUGCAUGUGGAUGAGUUUAUUGAUGAACUACUGCACAGUGAGAGAGUCUGUGACAUCAUUCUGCCUCGACUACAGAAACGCUAUGUGCUGGAGGAAGCUGAGCAACUGGAGCCUCGGGUUAGUGCUCCAGAAGAAGACAUGGAUGAUGUGGAGUCCAGUGAAGAGGAAGAGGAGGAAGAUGAGAAGUUGGAGAGAGUGCCAUCACCUGAUCACCACCGGAGAAGUUACCGAGACUUGGACAAGCCCCGUCGCUCUCCCACCCUGCGCUAUAGGAGGAGCAGAAGUCGGUUUCCCAGAAGGUGGAGUCGAUCUCCCAAAAGGAGAAGCCCUUCCUCACGCCGAGAAAGGCACGGGAGCAAGGGUCCAAGACAUCACCGCAGCAGGUCCCGAGAUCAAUGGCACAGAUCCCGUUCCGAGUCCCUGUCUCCUGAAAGGUCUAAGAAAAGCCAGCCACAAAAAGAGCCGGAGAGGGAAUGA
Molecule: RNA transcript, 1028 nt
Organism: Nycticebus coucang (slow loris)
Lineage: Eukaryota; Metazoa; Chordata; Mammalia; Primates; Lorisidae
Gene name: pre-mRNA-splicing factor 38A-like
Exons: 1
Source: RefSeq, a predicted model, not a curated record